AGGACAGGAGGGGACCGCAGGGGAACCGCAAGCUGGGGAGCUGCAGGGAAGUCCCCGUGACAGGGGACCAGAGUGACAGGAGCGUCAGGACGAAGUGGCCAGGGGCCGGCCCCGGAAAGCAAGUUGGUGGAGUAUCUUCCAUUUGUAAGAGACCGGUUACACGGCUCGGUGAACUGAACUCGGGAACUCAACGCCCCCUUCGGGGACUCCCCACGGCGGGGAAACCACCAGGUUCCCAGGGCCGCGGGGCCCGCGAGCCGGGGAGCCCGGGUGGAAGCCGCUGCCCAGGCGGGCGGCUGACGCCUCUUCCCCGGCACCGGGCGCGCGCCGGCCUCGGGCCCCCGAGUCGCCUCGAGGGGCUCGCGUUGGCCGCGUCCCGUGGUGCCGGACGCGGCCGGGCGGGAGCCUCCCCGGAGAGGCCGGUGUCACCGGAGAGCCGGCGGAGGAGAGGCCGCCGGGGCCGCGGCGGUUGUUCCCGACAUGCUCCUCUAGCGGAGGAUUUCAAACCCUCGGCCCCGACGGGCCCCAGCAACAGGCGGCGGCCCGCGUAUCAUUGGCCGGGCCGAGCGAAGGCGUGUUUUGAUUGGCCGCCGCGCCUCCCGGCCCCGCUUCAGCGCUCGCCACCUCCUCCAUUUUGUCGGUAGAGGCAGAAGGAGGAGGCCGGUCGGGAGCCUGAGGUGGCCAUCAGCUGGCUCUUCGGUGCUCGUGGGCUUCGCUCGUUCCUUGCCUCGUCUCUCCCUGGAAGGGGAGGGGGGCUUCGACGCCGAGCAGGAGCCGCCGCGGCCGUGGUGCCGCGCUUGAAGUCGCUAAGACUUCUCUCAAACUUGUGUGCUGAGGAGACUCAGAUGUUGGCCUCAGCUCUUAGGCUGAACUCAGCAGAUCGGCCCAUGAAAACUUCUGUACUGAGACAAAGGAAAGGAUCUGUCAGAAAGCAACAUCUAUUAUCCCGGGCGUGGCAGCAAGGAAGAGGACAGGUAGCGGAAAUCCUGCAAUCUGAAAAGCAGACUGAAAGGUGACAAAGAAGCUGAAGAUGGGUGGUGGAGAGAGGUAUAACAUUCCAGCCCCUCAAUCUAGAAGCGUUAGUAAGAACCAACAGCAGCUCAGUAGACAGAAGACCAAGGAUCAGAAUUCCCAGAUGAAGAUUGUUCAUAAGAAAAAGGAAAGAGGACAUACUUAUAAUUCAUCUGCAGCUGCAUGGCAGGCCAUGCAGAAUGGGGGGAAGAACAAAAGUUUUCCAAAUAAUCAAAACUGGAACUCUAGCUUGUCAAGUCCCACCUUACUUUUUAAGUCUCAAACUAAUCAGAACUAUGCUGGAGCCAAGUUUAGUGAGCCGCCAUCCCCAAGUGUUCUUCCUAAACCACCAAGCCACUGGGUUCCUGUUCCCUUUAAUCCUUCUGAUAAAGAAAUAAUGACAUUUCAACUUAAAACCUUACUUAAAGUACAGGUGUAAAGUGAGCUAAACUACUGUUUAAAUUUAGUCAUAUUUAAGGAUAACUGGCAAUUGUUUCAGACCAAAUUGACUGGGGAAUUAAUCUGUAAAACUGCUAAUCAACGUAGAAAAUAUAAUUAGACUUCAUGUUUUAUGUUAUGUGCACUGUGAUGGUAGAAUCAGUGUAAUUCAAAAUAACUAAAUUAUUGAUAAUUGUACUUGAUAUUGAUACAAAGUGUUCUCAAUUGAGUAACCAUUCAAGUGAAACCUUUCAAGUUUAGAUUUGGGGAAUGGUAAAGGAAUCAACUUUUUCUGUUGCCUGUUAGGGGAACAUAAGAACUUCAGAUUGUCAUUCAUGGAUCAGCAGGUUGACUUGAAUUAUAUGCAUCCAGUUAAGACAUAUAGGGGUUGAAAACUGGUUGAAUAUUUGAAAGUGUAGUGUCCUAGUAAAGUAAUAUGCCAACCACCUGAUGCACUGCCAAAAGGAAAUGUGAAUUUUUAGAGAAUAGUUGUCUUUUAGUGAACUGUAUGGUGGUGAAUGUGGAAAGGGCACUAGGGUCUAUUUAGAAUGAAACUGUAUACCCCAUUGGCCCUGUUAAGUGCAGUGGACAGGUGACUGCCAACAAAUGCACCAAAACGAUUUUUUGUAGAAAUGGUAUUUGGUGUUCACCAAGUAGCUUUCAGAAUACAUUCUCGUAUUAUGGCACUGCAUAAGCUAUUCUGACCGUGAUCUGGCUUCAAAUCAUCCCUGCAAAGCUCGUUUAAAGUGGGGAGCUGCAUAAUGUGAAAGUUAAACAUACCUAGGAAAGAGCCAUGUAAAUAUAUGUAAUAAACUUGUAGCAUAUGUAAAGUUUUGUUGGCAUUUAUCCUACAAAAAUAGAGUAUUUUAGUAUGAAUUUGCAGAAUCUAAGACAUGGACUCUUUUUUUUUUAAUACUAUGGCCUGAUUUUAAAGGUCCAAGAAAACCUUGUUUUUAAAGUUUGCCCUUGUGCUAAAGUGCCAGUGUAUGUAUGUUAUAAUUGAUCUUGCUGUAAACUAUAUUUCAAAGUGAAUCCUAGUGUGAGAAGUUUUAUAUAACUGAAAAGGUUUUAAGCUGCUAAAACACUUUCCUGUUUUUGUGAGGUGUGAAAUGCAGUAUGGGAUUAUUUUUUCUUUCUUACACACAAAAACUAUUAAGGGGUCCCUCCCUUAGUUUCAUUUUGGCUUUCAAGAAUUCAUAUAACCUGAGAGUAUAGUGUAUGAUGCCAGUGUAUUUUUUUUCCGUCAUCAGGUGCAACCCAGGGGACCGCUUAUUCAAAAGAUGUAAUUUCUUGCACAAUACCACAUGAUAAGGUGUUUUGCUUACCUUAAAAGUGCUAAUUAUAAAACAGCCAACCCAGUAGUAAAUUUAAAAAAAUGUGUGGGGGGGUUGUCUAUUUAAAAUUAGAUUGUAGGUGCCCUAUUUUCCAAUUUGGCAGCUUUUUUGAUGCCUUUAAGCAGAAUAGCUAAGUUGUAUUUCUCCAAAUAAAUUCAGGUGAGAUAUUGCCCAACUCAAAUAAUGAUAUCCUAAAGACAAGUUUAUAUAGUACUUAAUGUACAUAUAUGAAUUUGAAGCAUGAAAUUUAAAAAAUAAAAUUGUUUUUCCCCCAGUGGCUUGUUUUUAUUGUAUAAAAAGUUGUUACGACUGCCUAAUAGAGUGCACAUAAUUAACCCUGAAUACAAAAGACUGCUGGUUUUAAGAAGCAACCAAUUUGCUGACAAAGACACUUGGAUUAGCAGCUAUACCAUUAAAAAAGCAACUGUGACUUCCUCCUUCCAGCAGAGCUAACAGUAAAAGGCCAUACAAUAUUACUUUGGAGGCUUCUGAGUUCAUCUACCAAAUUGAAUAAAGCAGGUUUGACUGCCUGUCUCUCCCUCUUUUCUACAUUCUAAGAUGACUUUUAGAUUUACAGAAAAAAAAUUAUUCAAAGUGACGAGGACCUUUGUUUACGUAUUUGUUGGUAUGUAAAGAUGUAAUUUUCACAAGGGGACCUUGGGUUGGGGGAAAGACAUAAGAACUACACUGGCUUUCUAAAAUAGGUUCCAAAUCGUAGUGUAGGUUGAACUAGUUCAAGAAAAAUCUUUUGAAGUUCUACACUAAGCAAGUAGUGAAUCCCAGGGCCAGGCUGUAUUUUCUCAUGCACACUGUAGGAAGUAAUUGAGAUGGAGAAAAUUAAUAUUUGAUCUUCAUUUUCUCCCCUGUAUGUUCCCAGUAUAAUUUCUAUUAACAAUGCCGAGAAUUGCCAAGUUCUUUUCUGUAAUGCACUGGAAUCCCACUAGAUUGAACAAUUCUCAUCCUAGACAUCUGUUAGGUUUUGAUGUAUACGUGUAAAUACAGUAUAUACUAGAUUUUUGGUUUGGGAGUGACUCAAGUGGUAAAAGUGUUCAGAAAAUUAAGAGUGGACUGGCUUUUAACUACAAAAAUUUUUAAUAGCUAAGGGUAUCAACAUCUCAUACCUUAGAAAGGUACUAAUAAAGUUAUGGUUAGCCUACAGGAAGUAUGGUUGACAGGAAUUUCCCAAAUCAUUGUAAGAACUCCUCUACCCUGUAGGGCUUAAAUCAGCCAUAGUGUGAACCUUGUCAGUGUUAUAAUUUUAGUUUUGUCUUAUCUUUUUGAUGGCAGUGUAUGUGGUACAAUGGUAUCUUGAGUUCAUAACCUAUCCUUACACCUAAGUUGUGGUAAGUUCUCCAUCUCAGAAGGAAGCACAAGGUGGGAAAAAACCGAAGGGUUUUGGGGUGAAACAACUGUUAGGAAUACAUAGAAACAACACAAUGAACAUAACCAACACUGCUGGAGGAGGGACAAAGGGAAAAACCCAAGAAAAGGAUCUUUUUCCACAAAAACUAUGUCUACCAGAUGUCAGUAGUUAAAGAUGAAUAGAUUGUGGACUUCUUUCAUCACAGUGUUUACUCCUGCGACGCCUAAAAGCUUUGAUAGACCUCCUAGUUGAACACUCAUUUUAUUCCUGAGCUACCAGUGUGAUGUUCAAGUCACAGCCUUCCCAUUUCAGAAUAUCUCGGGAUUUUGUAACAGGAAUAUGGUCAAAAUGCAACACAACGAGACUGAAAUUU
RNA transcript from Hippopotamus amphibius kiboko, 4519 nucleotides. It is a transcript of the gene named proline rich nuclear receptor coactivator 2, with no coding region annotated. NCBI's taxonomy places the organism in Eukaryota, Metazoa, Chordata, Mammalia, Artiodactyla, Hippopotamidae. The transcript has 4 exons. The record is from RefSeq and is a predicted model, not a curated record.